Molecule: ribosomal RNA, 365 nt
Filed under: uncultured soil bacterium
Lineage: Bacteria
Description: bacterial SSU rRNA
Rfam family: Bacterial small subunit ribosomal RNA
Source: RNAcentral
AGAUUGAACGCUGGCGGCAGGCCUAACACAUGCAAGUCGAGCGGUAGAGAGGUGCUUGCAUCUCUUGAGAGCGGCGGACGGGUGAGUAAUGCCUAGGAAUCUGCCUAGUGGUGGGGGAUAACGUUCGGAAACGGACGCUAAUACCGCAUACGUCCUACGGGAGAAAGCGGGGACCUUCGGGCCUCGCGCCAUUAGAUGAGCCUAGGUCGGAUUAGCUAGUUGGUGAGGUAAUGGCUCACCAAGGCGACGAUCCGUAACUGGUCUGAGAGGAUGAUCAGUCACACUGGAACUGAGACGACGGUCCAGACCUCCGUAGGGAGGCAGCGAGGUGGGAAUAGUUGGAACAAGUGGGACGAAAGCCUAGA